CCCUUAGAUGUUCUGGGCCGCACGCGUGCUACACUGAGUGGAUCAGCGGGUCAGGUUACGCGAGAGCGUUUCCUAAUCUUCAAAUCCGCUCGUGAUGGGGAUUGACGGUUGCAAUUUUCCGUCAUGAACGAGGAAUACCUUGUAAGCGCGGGUCAUCAUCCCGCGCUGAAUACGUCCCUGCCCUUUGUACACACCGCCCGUCGCUCCUACCGAUUGAGUGGUCCGGUGAGGCGUUGGGAUCUAAGCGAAAAGAGCGUUUCGCUCCUUUUGCUGGGAGAACUCAGUCGAACCUUAUCAUUUAGAGGAAGGAGAAGUCGUAACA
This 322-nucleotide ribosomal RNA is filed under the name uncultured eukaryote. Its description in RNAcentral is "partial 18S ribosomal RNA". It matches the Rfam family "Eukaryotic small subunit ribosomal RNA", at positions 1470 to 1796 of the family's 1831-position model. The record is from RNAcentral.